CCUACGUGGUGCAGCAGUGAGGGAUAUUGGUCAAUGGGGGAAACCCUGAACCAGCAACGCCGCGUGAGGGAAGACGGUUUUCGGAUUGUACACCUCUGUCCUCUGUGAAGAUAAUGACGGUCGCAGAGGAGGAAGCUCCGGCUAACUACGUGCCAGCAGCCGCGGUAAUACGUAGGGAGCAAGCGUGGUCCGGAUUUACGGGGUGUAAAGGGUGCGUAGGCGGGCUUGCAAGUCAGAAGUGAAGUCUAUGGGCUUAACCCAUACACUGCUUUUGAACCUGUAAGUCUUGAGUGAAGUAGAGGGAGGCGGAAUUCCCGGUGUAGCGGUGAAAUGCGUAGAGAUCGGGAGGAACACCAGUGGCGAAGGCGGCCUACUGGGCUUUAACUGACGCUGAGGCACGAAAGCGUGGGUAGCAAACAGGAUUAGAUACCCCUGUAGUC
RNAcentral lists this ribosomal RNA (440 nucleotides) under uncultured bacterium. RNAcentral describes it as "partial 16S ribosomal RNA". It matches the Rfam family "Bacterial small subunit ribosomal RNA", at positions 338 to 795 of the family's 1533-position model. The record is from RNAcentral.